GUUUUAAUAGUUUAGAAUAAACAUUAAUUUUGUAAAUUGAAAUCGGUUAAUCCUUAAAACA
Molecule: transfer RNA, 61 nt
Filed under: Gessius rufidorsus
Lineage: Eukaryota; Metazoa; Arthropoda; Insecta; Hemiptera; Cicadellidae
Description: Gessius sp. 'rufidorsus' tRNA-Thr
Source: RNAcentral